CCUACGGGAGGCAGCAGUGGGGAAUAUUGCACAAUGGGGGAAACCCUGAUGCAGCGACGCCGCGUGAGUGAAGAAGUAUUUCGGUAUGUAAAGCUCUAUCAGCAGGGAAGAAAUAAAGUCCUUCGGACUUUGGACGGUACCUGACUAAGAAGCCACGGCUAACUACGUGCCAGCAGCCGCGGUAAUACGUAGGGGGCAAGCGUUAUCCGGAUUUACUGGGUGUAAAGGGAGCGUAGACGGCAGCGCAAGUCUGGAGUGAAAUCCCAUGGCUUAACCAUGGAACUGCUUUGGAAACUGUGCAGCUGGAGUGCAGGAGAGGUAAGCGGAAUUCCUAGUGUAGCGGUGAAAUGCGUAGAUAUUAGGAGGAACACCAGUGGCGAAGGCGGCUUACCGGACUGUAACUGACGUUGAGGCUCGAAAGCGUGGGGAGCAAACAGGAUUAGAUACCCUGGUAGUC
Molecule: ribosomal RNA, 457 nt
Filed under: uncultured bacterium
Lineage: Bacteria
Description: partial 16S ribosomal RNA
Rfam family: Bacterial small subunit ribosomal RNA
Source: RNAcentral